AAAACUAAAAUGUUGAUAAAUUGAGUAAAGAGACUUUUAAUGCUAUCUCAACAUUUUCCUCAACUUGGGAGGUUUAUAAGACUUUAAUAUAACAUCAGUUUACAAUCUAUACAACUACUGCUCCACUGUAGUCUUCAAACAUUCAGUUUUAUAAAUCAUUUCUGAAAUGUUAAUAAUCUGCUUUAUUUCCAAAUCUCACAAGAUCUUUAUAUUUCCAUACGUACAAAGUCGCAGGAUCCCUCUGGUGCUAACUGAAAAGCACAGUACACCUGUAACAGCACAGCCGAGGGCUGGGUUCAGUUCUGGUGAUUCCCAUGACGGUGCUAUGCGCUGACCACACUGAAAAAGGCAGGGUAGCGGACAAAGUACAUACAGGCCGCCAGCUUCAAGGGUUUAUGCUUGGGCCAAAUGUGACUUCAUUAAUCCGAAAUACGACUCAAUGAGAAGGUCAACUGUGUUCACUGUAUGCCUAUUAUGUGCCAGCAGCUGAGAUACCACUGAGACAAAAAAGCCCUCGAGACCUGAACAAUUCCAACAAAACAUAGUGACUGAGUUUACUACAUGUGCAAAUGGCAGCAAAAAAAAGCCCUCAAUUCAAUACUUUUGUCUGUUCUGUACCGAAGAAAAGCCACUUUAAAAAAACCCACAAAUAUUUUGAAGAAUCAAAAACAAAAUUACUUGUGAAUUUAGUAAUUUGGCUCAUUUGGAAAUCCGCAGAUUUUUCUCAGGAAGUGACAUCCAUUUCUGCUCAAGUGUGGCCCGAGCCAGCGAUUACGUGGAGCCAGGCCAUUUCCUCACUCAGCCUGUCCAGUAAGGAAGCUUGGGAGGUCAGUGGACAAGGCCUUGGCAUCAGUGGCCGCCAGGUCCACAGCCAGAUGCCCUGGGGACUCCUGGCUGCCAUCUGUAACAUGGCUCAGGAAAGGCCACUUGUGUUUUCUAUGAACGGCCUGAUCCCAAGCCACUUCACAGCCAAUGUCCCCAGUCUUCUCGGAGCGCACCCUUCCACACCUGAGCCGCAGAGCGCUCCUCAGAAGAUGGACAUGUGUAUGAAGCGUGAGCUCAGGCGCUCUGCGCGCCAUGCAGGGACUUGGGUCCAGCUGUCCUGUCUUCCCCAGACUAGUAACACUGUUCCUCCCUCUGCCAGCAAAGUUUCAGUAACUGCCUCUGUUCAUUAAACUUACAUUAUUGGUACUUUAAAUAUCCUCCUCCACCCACUUUGAGAAAAGAUCUAUGAAAACGGUAAGGGGCCUUCGGUUUAAACUGUUUCUAAGGUUCUUCGAGGAUAGUUCCACUAACACUCUUGCUUUUACCUCGAAAAACUCCUGCCCACAAAGUUUGAUUUCAAAGGCCCAGCUAAUAAAAUCAAAGCACUCUGGAACUCCCUCAGCACUGCCUUUCCUCCUGGGGAAUGGAGGAGAGAGCGGGUCCUGAUGUGGAGCUGCCUGAGAAGGGUAAUUGGCCAGAGGGCCAGGCCCAGGCACUACCCACAGCACACCAGGGCAGGGCUGCCUCAGGCCACAUCACCACAGAAAGUCUCUGAUGUCAAGUUAAUAUCAUAUCACUCUCAGGAACCAGUCCACAUCGGAGGCCUACCACUGACAAGUUUCCAGAGCCUCAGCGACUCUUCCCCUUUCUCAAAAUUUAACAUCGCGACUUCGGAGAACAGAGACAAGCGCUGCCCGAAAGUCAUCACCGACUCGGUGCUGGGUGGCUAGGUCGGCCCUUCGAAGGCCCAGACUGCAGUGCUAGGCGCCCAAGCUCUUAGACUGCGCUGCCCCUCAGGCUGCCCUGCCUGUGUCAGGGUCGCGAGUGCGUGUGAUGGAGAAAACUCGCAGCACGGUGGGUUCCUGAGACAGGAGGCGGCGACCGGCUUCAACCCAGAAAAGCGCUUCUCCCGGCCGCUGCUCCGUGGGGUUUCAGCUCCACAGCUGCGCAGCUGCCCGGCGGGGUCAGGCAUACGGAAGCGGGGAUGUUUCGUGCCUGUGGCCUUAAGGAAGAUGCUGUGCCUCUGUCGCCGACGAGCCCCUGAGGCCAGUCCGGGAGCCCCCCUGCUCAGCAGCGGGCCUGUCCCCACCCACUGUCAAUUCCUGCUCUCCCGGUUCCCACCCGAGUCCGCUCAAGAGACGCUGCACAAACUCCUUGGGCAUCAAGCCGGGCUGCACCGCCAGGCUCUGGUUUCGAAUCAUGAACACCAGUAGCGCCGUUUCUCAGCGUCAGUCCUCCUGCGUGUAAGUGAGAGUGGUCUUGCUUAAAACCGCCAGCAGAUCUGGAGAACCAGGCAGCCGUCUCCCCGCCUCCCUCUCUCCCUCCCUCCGGAGCCAGGCGCGACCGACCGGCGGCACCGCGCGGCCCGCGGUACUCACUGAGCAUCUCUCCUGCUGGCCCAGGACUCCAUGGCGAGCGGGGGCCGCCAGAGGUUUCAUAAUGAAGGAGCAGGUGCUGCGCCCAGGCUACACAUGGUAGACGGCAAGGCCCAGUCUGCAGCAGUCAGUCAGCAGAGGAGGAAAGGAGACAAAAACGGGGAGGCGGAGGGAAGCCGAGCUGCAGAGGCGCCACCGCCGGGAGCUGGGAAGCGCCGCGCACCCAAGGAGCAGAAGCCGGGCGGAGCGGCAGUGCCGGCCUCCAUGCUCCGCACCGGCGCCGCCCGCCCGGCUCCAGCUCCCGAGGACGCGCCCUUCGAGGCCGGAGAGGACGGCGGGGGCGAGCAGCUAAAAUGGCUGACUGCACACGCUCCUCACGCGGGCUCGCGGCCGGCGGCCGGCGUGCAGGGCAGCACUGCUGUCUCCUGGCCUCGCGGCGCAGACCCCGACCGAGAGGAAGGAAAAACCGGGACAGCCUUGUGAAGGGACCCCCUCCCUAGCUGCCGCUGCUCCGGGAGUCCUGGCCGCGAGCUCAGCCCCACGCCACUGACCAAGUUUGCACAAUUAAGCUCGGCAGCGUGACACCUGCAGACACUGACUUCGAUGCUGUCUGUCCCUCACACUCAGCACGAGCACGCCUGCUACAAGUCACUGACAGACACAGCACACGCACACCCAUCUCCGCACGCGAGUCUGAAUGCGACACACCCAGAGAAUUACAUUACUGUGCUUACUUUGGAGGACCAUGGCUGCAGGCAGUUGGCAUAGCAACGCACAAGGAAAGCCAUUUCCUGGGGAGAGAGCUUCCUUUUCUAAACAAAAAAAUUCCUCCUAGGAAGCAAACGGCAUCGCUGCUUCUGCAGAAGCAAGACACUGUAGUGUGUCUCCUAACCUGCGCGGCUCGCUCACUCGCUGCAGUCCUAGUGAUGUAAGUGGAUCUCGCCCUCCCUCUCCCUCGUGCACCGAGACACUCAGCUCCACGGCACACACGUUCCUUCAGGCUCGCCCCUCUGCCUCACCGUGGCGCUUGUUAAGGGAGCGGCGGCAGCCAGAAAGUAACGCGCUCGUGCCUCGUGCCUCGUGCCUCGGCGGCUGCAGGUUAAGCAAGUCUCGGAGGGAUGGAGUCCAUUGACUGCUGACUCCGGAUCAUGCCACCCAGACAGUGGGAAACGGAGAAGGACUUUCCCGAACAGCUUGGCACUAAAACGUAAUUCUUCACCAAGAUCUCUCUCUAUCGGAUCACGAUCACCCAGUUCCAAUCAUUACUUUUUGUCCUGAGAAUCACUGAAAAAUCAACGAUCCCGAUUCCAUUCCAACCCUAUCCACCCAACCUGUUUACCAUACCACCUCUAGGAUCUUUGAAAACUAGUCUGAUCACUUCCCCUUCCUCCAUGGUGGCCCUUUUACAAGUUAAACCACUCCAAUGGCUUCCCAUGGUACCCAACAUAAAGACCAAAUCCCUGUUGCAGCUGCGGGAGGUGCAGCUUCCCAGGCUCACACCAGGCUCACACUCACACUCACGCGCGGUCUCUUGCACUCCAGGCUGCUCGGGCU
Molecule: long non-coding RNA, 3914 nt
Filed under: Heterocephalus glaber (naked mole-rat)
Lineage: Eukaryota; Metazoa; Chordata; Mammalia; Rodentia; Bathyergidae
Description: lncRNA (ENSHGLG00100032790.1)
Source: RNAcentral